UCCCGCUUAGCUCAGUUGGUUAGAGCAUCUGACUGUUAAUCAGAGGGUCCCCUGUUCAAGUCAGGGAGCGGGAGCCA
RNAcentral lists this transfer RNA (77 nucleotides) under Deltaproteobacteria bacterium. Its description in RNAcentral is "tRNA-Asn". It matches the Rfam family "tRNA". Rfam says of the family: Transfer RNA (tRNA) molecules are approximately 80 nucleotides in length. Their secondary structure includes four short double-helical elements and three loops (D, anti-codon, and T loops). Further hydrogen bonds mediate the characteristic L-shaped molecular structure. tRNAs have two regions of fundamental functional importance: the anti-codon, which is responsible for specific mRNA codon recognition, and the 3' end, to which the tRNAs corresponding amino acid is attached (by aminoacyl-tRNA synthetases). tRNAs cope with the degeneracy of the genetic code in two manners: having more than one tRNA (with a specific anti-codon) for a particular amino acid; and 'wobble' base-pairing, i.e. permitting non-standard base-pairing at the 3rd anti-codon position. RNAcentral also lists the same sequence under 1 other name. Lineage: Bacteria; Pseudomonadati; Myxococcota; Myxococcia. The record is from RNAcentral.